Molecule: unclassified non-coding RNA, 26 nt
Filed under: Mus musculus (house mouse)
Lineage: Eukaryota; Metazoa; Chordata; Mammalia; Rodentia; Muridae
Description: oocyte_clustered_small_RNA1130
Source: RNAcentral
UGUUGCAUCCACCUCAGCCGGCAAAG